RNAcentral lists this ribosomal RNA (445 nucleotides) under uncultured bacterium. RNAcentral's name for it is "bacterial SSU rRNA". It matches the Rfam family "Bacterial small subunit ribosomal RNA", at positions 32 to 506 of the family's 1533-position model. The record is from RNAcentral.
AUCAACGCUGGCGGCGUGCCUAACACAUGCAAGUCGCACGAGAAAGGGACUUCGGUCCUGAGUACAGUGGCGCACGGGUGAGUAACACGUGAAUCAUCUACCUUCGAGUGGGGAAUAACUGGGAGAAAUCUCAGCUAAUACCGCAUAAUACCUACGGGUCAAAGCAGCAAUGUGCUUGAAGAGGAGUUCGCGGCAGAUUAGUUAGUUGGCGGGGUAAUGGCCCACCAAGACGAUGAUCUGUAUCCGGCCUGAGAGGGCGCACGGACACACUGGAACUGAAACACGGUCCAGACUCCUACGGGAGGCAGCAGUGGGGAAUUUUGCGCAAUGGGGGAAACCCUGACGCAGCAACGCCGCGUGGAGGAUGAAAUCCCUUGGGAUGUAAACUCCUUUCGAUUGGGAAGAUUAUGACGGUACCAAUAGAAGAAGCCCCGGCUAACUUCGU